This 85-nucleotide transfer RNA is filed under the name Felis catus (domestic cat). It matches the Rfam family "tRNA". Rfam says of the family: Transfer RNA (tRNA) molecules are approximately 80 nucleotides in length. Their secondary structure includes four short double-helical elements and three loops (D, anti-codon, and T loops). The record is from Rfam by way of RNAcentral. Lineage: Eukaryota; Metazoa; Chordata; Mammalia; Carnivora; Felidae.
GCCUGGGUGGCUCAGUCGGUUAAGCGUCCGACUUUGGCUCAGGUCAUGAUCUCGCGGUCUGUGGGUUCGAGCCCCACGUCAGGCU